GCAGCAGCCACGGGAAUACGGAGGGUGCAAGCGUUAAUCGGAAUUACUGGGCGUAAAGCGUGCGUAGGCGGUUACUCAAGUCAGAGGUGAAAGCCCGGGGCUCAACCCCGGAACUGCCUUUGAAACUAGGUGACUAGAAUCUUGGAGAGGUCAGUGGAAUUCCGAGUGUAGAGGUGAAAUUCGUAGAUAUUCGGAGGAACACCAGUGGCGAAGGCGGCUCACUGGUCCAUUACUGACGCUGAGGUGCGAAAGCGUGGGGAGCAAACAGGAUUAGAUACCCGAGUAGUCCCUGUCUCUUAUAC
This 302-nucleotide ribosomal RNA is filed under the name uncultured bacterium. RNAcentral describes it as "partial 16S ribosomal RNA". It matches the Rfam family "Bacterial small subunit ribosomal RNA", at positions 508 to 807 of the family's 1533-position model. The record is from RNAcentral.